This 497-nucleotide ribosomal RNA is filed under the name uncultured bacterium. RNAcentral's name for it is "partial 16S ribosomal RNA". It matches the Rfam family "Bacterial small subunit ribosomal RNA", at positions 28 to 507 of the family's 1533-position model. The record is from RNAcentral.
GAUGAACGCUGGCGGCGUGCCUAAUACAUGCAAGUCGAGCGAACGGACGAGGAGCUUGCUCCGUUGACGUUAGCGGCGGACGGGUGAGUAACACGUGGAUAACCUACCUAUAAGACUGGGAUAACUUCGGGAAACCGGAGCUAAUACCGGAUAAUAUAUUGAACCGCAUGGUUCAAUAGUGAAAGACGGUUUUGCUGUCACUUAUAGAUGGAUCCGCGCCGCAUUAGCUAGUUGGUAAGGUAACGGCUUACCAAGGCAACGAUGCGUAGCCGACCUGAGAGGGUGAUCGGCCACACUGGAACUGAGACACGGUCCAGACUCCUACGGGAGGCAGCAGUAGGGAAUCUUCCGCAAUGGGCGAAAGCCUGACGGAGCAACGCCGCGUGAGUGAUGAAGGUCUUCGGAUCGUAAAACUCUGUUAUUAGGGAAGAACAAAUGUGUAAGUAACUAUGCACGUCUUGACGGUACCUAAUCAGAAAGCCACGGCUAACUACGUG